GAUUGAACGCUGGCGGCAGGCCUAACACAUGCAAGUCGAGCGGUAGCACAGAGAGCUUGCUCUCGGGUGACGAGCGGCGGACGGGUGAGUAAUGUCUGGGAAACUGCCUGAUGGAGGGGGAUAACUACUGGAAACGGUAGCUAAUACCGCAUAACGUCGCAAGACCAAAGUGGGGGACCUUCGGGCCUCAUGCCAUCAGAUGUGCCCAGAUGGGAUUAGCUAGUAGGUGGGGUAACGGCUCACCUAGGCGACGAUCCCUAGCUGGUCUGAGAGGAUGACCAGCCACACUGGAACUGAGACACGGUCCAGACUCCUACGGGAGGCAGCAGUGGGGAAUAUUGCACAAUGGGCGCAAGCCUGAUGCAGCCAUGCCGCGUGUGUGAAGAAGGCCUUCGGGUUGUAAAGCACUUUCAGCGGGGAGGAAGGCGGUGAGGUUAAUAACCUCACCGAUUGACGUUACCCGCAGAAGAAGCACCGGCUAACUCCGUGCCAGCAGCCGCGGUAAUACGGAGGGUGCAAGCGUUAAUCGGAAUUACUGGGCGUAAAGCGCACGCAGGCGGUCUGUCAAGUCGGAUGUGAAAUCCCCGGGCUCAACCUGGGAACUGCAUCCGAAACCGGCAGGCUAGAGUCUUGUAGAGGGGGGUAGAAUUCCAGGUGUAGCGGUGAGAUGCGUAGAGAUCUGGAGGAAUACCGGUGGCGAAGGCGGCCCCCUGGACAAAGACUGACGCUCAGGUGCGAAAGCGUGGGGAGCAAACAGGAUUAGAUACCCUGGUAGUCCACGCCGUAAACGAUGUCGAUUUGGAGGUUGUGCCCUUGAGGCGUGGCUUCCGGAGCUAACGCGUUAAAUCGACCGCCUGGGGAGUACGGCCGCAAGGUUAAAACUCAAAUGAAUUGACGGGGGCCCGCACAAGCGGUGGAGCAUGUGGUUUAAUUCGAUGCAACGCGAAGAACCUUACCUGGUCUUGACAUCCACAGAACUUUCCAGAGAUGGAUUGGUGCCUUCGGGAACUGUGAGACAGGUGCUGCAUGGCUGUCGUCGGCUCGUGUUGUGAAAUGUUGGGUUAAGUCCCGCAACGAGCGCAACCCUUAUCCUUUGUUGCCAGCGGUCCGGCCGGGAACUCAAAGGAGACUGCCAGUGAUAAACUGGAGGAAGGUGGGGAUGACGUCAAGUCAUCAUGGCCCUUACGACCAGGGCUACACACGUGCUACAAUGGCAUAUACAAAGAGAAGCGACCUCGCGAGAGCAAGCGGACCUCAUAAAGUAUGUCGUAGUCCGGAUUGGAGUCUGCAACUCGACUCCAUGAAGUCGGAAUCGCUAGUAAUCGUAGAUCAGAAUGCUACGGUGAAUACGUUCCCGGGCCUUGUACACACCGCCCGUCACACCAUGGGAGUGGGUUGCAAAAGAAGUAGGUAGCUUAACCUUCGGGAGGGCGCUUACCACUUUGUGAUUCAUGACUGGGGUGAAGUCGAACAAGGUAACC
RNAcentral lists this ribosomal RNA (1481 nucleotides) under uncultured bacterium. RNAcentral's name for it is "16S ribosomal RNA". It matches the Rfam family "Bacterial small subunit ribosomal RNA". The record is from RNAcentral.